UUUGAAUUAUAAAUUUUUUUUUAAUAAUAGAAAUUUCAUUUAUUCCUAAUUUAAGUCCAUUAUUAGAAGGGAAAUCUCGAAUGAGGAAUAGCUAGUAAUUCACCAAUUACUAAACAAAAUGCAUCUUUUCUUGGUCCCGCAUCGCGAGUGCUGCAUUCAAGAACUCAUCCAUGGCUCUCACAGAGGACCCCUUCAAAUCUUUCUCGCAUUUCACUGCAUCCUUAAUCAUGUCUUUCGCUCCACAAGCCUUCUUUCUCAUUUCCACCCCUUUUUCUGUCCCAUUCAUCACCAACUCUAUCUUUUUCACUAUAUCUUCAUGGCUAACUUGGCAGAUCUUUCCUCUAGCCACCUCCACACAUACUCCUAUCUUUUCUUCCAAAAGCUUAACAUUGUAGAAUUGUUCUGCUGCCAUUGGCCACCCAAUUAAUGGCACACCAUAGCUUAGAGAUUCGAGCACUGAA
RNAcentral lists this unclassified non-coding RNA (461 nucleotides) under Hevea brasiliensis (rubber tree). The record is from RNAcentral. Lineage: Eukaryota; Viridiplantae; Streptophyta; Magnoliopsida; Malpighiales; Euphorbiaceae.